Molecule: ribosomal RNA, 834 nt
Filed under: Escherichia coli
Lineage: Bacteria; Pseudomonadati; Pseudomonadota; Gammaproteobacteria; Enterobacterales; Enterobacteriaceae
Description: bacterial LSU rRNA
Rfam family: Bacterial large subunit ribosomal RNA
Source: RNAcentral
UUCCUUGUCGGGUAAGUUCCGACCUGCACGAAUGGCGUAAUGAUGGCCAGGCUGUCUCCACCCGAGACUCAGUGAAAUUGAACUCGCUGUGAAGAUGCAGUGUACCCGCGGCAAGACGGAAAGACCCCGUGAACCUUUACUAUAGCUUGACACUGAACAUUGAGCCUUGAUGUGUAGGAUAGGUGGGAGGCUUGGAAGUGUGGACGCCAGUCUGCAUGGAGCCGACCUUGAAAUACCACCCUUUAAUGUUUGAUGUUCUAACGUUGACCCGUAAUCCGGGUUGCGGACAGUGUCUGGUGGGUAGUUUGACUGGGGCGGUCUCCUCCUAAAGAGUAACGGAGGAGCACGAAGGUUGGCUAAUCCUGGUCGGACAUCAGGAGGUUAGUGCAAUGGCAUAAGCCAGCUUGACUGCGAGCGUGACGGCGCGAGCAGGUGCGAAAGCAGGUCAUAGUGAUCCGGUGGUUCUGAAUGGAAGGGCCAUCGCUCAACGGAUAAAAGGUACUCCGGGGAUAACAGGCUGAUACCGCCCAAGAGUUCAUAUCGACGGCGGUGUUUGGCACCUCGAUGUCGGCUCAUCACAUCCUGGGGCUGAAGUAGGUCCCAAGGGUAUGGCUGUUCGCCAUUUAAAGUGGUACGCGAGCUGGGUUUAGAACGUCGUGAGACAGUUCGGUCCCUAUCUGCCGUGGGCGCUGGAGAACUGAGGGGGGCUGCUCCUAGUACGAGAGGACCGGAGUGGACGCAUCACUGGUGUUCGGGUUGUCAUGCCAAUGGCACUGCCCGGUAGCUAAAUGCGGAAGAGAUAAGUGCUGAAAGCAUCUAAGCACGAAACUUGCC